GGCAAGAUGGCCGAGCGGUCUAAGGCGCUGUCUUCAGGAUUCCCACAAUGUGGACAGUUUCAUCACCUUGUGAUGCUAUACAGCAUGUGAGGACCCCUGGCAGUCCGAAAGGGCGUGGGUUCGAAUCCCACUCUUGUCA
Rhypophila decipiens is the source of this 139-nucleotide non-coding RNA. NCBI's taxonomy places the organism in Eukaryota, Fungi, Ascomycota, Sordariomycetes, Sordariales, Naviculisporaceae. The record is from the annotation of a GenBank genome assembly.